GGAAGCUUGUGCGCACUCGCGCACGCACGCGAGAUCGCUCUACACGUGUAGAGACACAGAGAGAAAGGGAUUGGUUUUGUUGCUGAGCUGGGCAGACAGAAUCAGACAAUGACCACAUGGAAAGUGAAGACCAAGAAGCUUGGGAAGAAAAGAUCCCUGGUCAUAUGUUUGUCACCUUCAGGAACCUGUGAAGAAAUGCGAUGGGGGCAAUGGUAGCUUUGUCCUUUGGGACUUAAGGGGCAAACAUAACGGGCUCUGCAUUAACUUUCCUAUGUCAGCAAAAAUUCCACGGCGAAAUGGCGGUUUAUGUGACCUUUUCUCGAGGCUCCAGAAACAACUGCCUGAUUUCCUGUGCUUCGGCUCUUCUCGUUAUAUUUCCAAGGUCCAGGCACAGAAGCUGGCUUCCUUCCAGGUGGGAUAUCCUGAUUGGAAGUUAACUCUGACACUGGACUCUGCUCUUUCCUUGGAAUCACUUUGACACAAGUUCCUUAAAGAGCGGUGAUGUCUACACGUGCUAGUUUGCACACACAAUACACUGGACCCAUGAUCCGGGUUAGUCAUCCGCGGUGACUUCGGAGUUCCAGGGCAGGGGGGAGAGGAAAGAGUCUGAGAAACUUGGAAGUUCUUCCUGGCAUGACUGGAAGUGUAAGAUGUGACAUCCUGGCUCCAAUCCAGUGCAAAGGGGAAUUUGAAGAGCAGCGCACAUAUUUGUAAUUUUCCAGCCUCGGGCACACAUUUCCUCUCCUGACCAUUUGUGUUCCUUCAGAUUUUACAGAGAGAUCUGUCAGUUCUCUGAAAGAGAUGCCAGUGCAGCGGACACUUGAGAGAACAGAGAGACCUUGAGACAGUCUGAACAGAAAAUGGCUUGUAGAUUCAGCAACAAACCAUCCUGACCUAUGGGAGUGGAUGAUUCUUGCAAGAGCUGGGGGAUAGUUGGUUAAAAUGAAUAAAAAGAUAAUUACCC
This is a long non-coding RNA of Mus musculus (house mouse), 964 nucleotides long. RefSeq annotates it as predicted gene 11682. The transcript is spliced from 5 exons. Lineage: Eukaryota; Metazoa; Chordata; Mammalia; Rodentia; Muridae. The record is from RefSeq and is marked validated.